RNAcentral lists this long non-coding RNA (255 nucleotides) under Brassica rapa (field mustard). Its description in RNAcentral is "long non-coding RNA (BRAP_LNC004724)". Lineage: Eukaryota; Viridiplantae; Streptophyta; Magnoliopsida; Brassicales; Brassicaceae. The record is from RNAcentral.
UCAGGUUUAUUCAAGUUGAAUGAGACAAAUGUUGUUUAAAAAUUAUCAAAUCAAAUAUUAUAUAAUUUAGAUGAAUUUAUUGAAUCAAUAAUUAGUUUUUGUUAAAAUUUGAAUUGUUAUCUUUAAGAAUACGUUUUUCAUUCAAUCGUCAAAUUAAAAUCUCAUGUUGAAAAUUUUCUUUUCUCAUGGUACUGGAUUUAUAUGAGUAAUAUAAACAAAAUAAUUCAACAUCAACUGUUCAUAAAAGAAUUCAAG